Molecule: long non-coding RNA, 833 nt
Organism: Otolemur garnettii (small-eared galago)
Lineage: Eukaryota; Metazoa; Chordata; Mammalia; Primates; Galagidae
Exons: 3
Source: RefSeq, a predicted model, not a curated record
GGCAGAGGACAUAACCAAUCCAACAGUCUCUACGACCUGAUCGUUCCUCCUCAACAUGGCAGAUGCAACAGUGAAGGUGUAUGAAGCCCUGGAAGAACAGAUAGACGUGUUGAAAGGAAGAUAUGAACUUUUACAGGUGAACUAGGGACAAGGAGAAACAGGAAGCAAAGAAAGCUUUUCCGGCGGCAAGAACGCCCCGUGCAAAGGCAGAGAGACUUCCUGAUUUGUGGACUUCCUAACUCCCCUCCUGCUCCCUCUCCUUUCCAUCUGCCAAGGUCCACAUGGCCAAAAGAUGUGCCGGCCUCAGAAGACAGGUCAUUUCUGUGUCAAAAGAUCUAUGAUGUAGAACUUUCUUUCUGAACAGAAUCUAAAUAAAAUAUGAAGAGGAGAGAAAGUAGACCUGGAAAAGAGUCAGAUGUCCUCCUGGAGCACAUGAUGGGGCCCUGCCCCCAAAUGUAUCUUUCUCCAAACUAAUUAGUGGGUGAGUGAGUGCCAGCACUGAGGGUCCUGAUUCAGCCACCCCGCAGGACCUCUCCACUCCAUGUCACAAUGCAAGAGGAGGUAGAGGGUGAGCAUGGAGUCACGGCAUCUGUAUCCAUCUGCUUUCCCAUCGAACACCUACCAGACAGCAUCCAACGUGGAGCUAAAGGUUACACGGGCAGCAGAAUAGCAAAUGCAGCGCCUUAGAGACAAGGGAAGGAGCAGGUGACAGCAGGUGCAGGGAAGCCACAGCUACUGCAGAGCCACAUUGUGAGCAUGUAAUGACAGUGUAGGCGUCUGCUCUAUCUCUGCUAUGGAACAUUGUGAUAAAUUAUUAAUAAAAGGGUUUGUGU